ACCCCGCGCAUGUCCGGGUUAUGACAUGUACCUCCCUGUUGGACUUGGCCCGAGCUUCGGCUCGGGUCUUUUUU
RNAcentral lists this non-coding RNA (74 nucleotides) under Donghicola sp. KarMa. Its description in RNAcentral is "Singlet oxygen resistance RNA X". It matches the Rfam family "Singlet oxygen resistance RNA X". From Rfam's summary of the family: SorX (RSs2461)like SorY is a singlet oxygen induced sRNA that counteracts oxidative stress by targeting mRNA for a transporter in Rhodobacter. Lineage: Bacteria; Pseudomonadati; Pseudomonadota; Alphaproteobacteria; Rhodobacterales; Roseobacteraceae. The record is from Rfam by way of RNAcentral.